This 465-nucleotide ribosomal RNA is filed under the name Vreelandella stevensii. RNAcentral describes it as "partial 16S ribosomal RNA". It matches the Rfam family "Bacterial small subunit ribosomal RNA", at positions 338 to 795 of the family's 1533-position model. The record is from RNAcentral. Lineage: Bacteria; Pseudomonadati; Pseudomonadota; Gammaproteobacteria; Oceanospirillales; Halomonadaceae.
CCUACGGGGGGCUGCAGUGGGGAAUAUUGGACAAUGGGGGGAACCCUGAUCCAGCCAUGCCGCGUGUGUGAAGAAGGCCCUCGGGUUGUAAAGCACUUUCAGUGAGGAAGAACGCCUGGUGGUUAAUACCCAUCAGGAAAGACAUCACUCACAGAAGAAGCACCGGCUAACUCCGUGCCAGCAGCCGCGGUAAUACGGAGGGUGCGAGCGUUAAUCGGAAUUACUGGGCGUAAAGCGCGCGUAGGUGGCUUGAUAAGCCGGUUGUGAAAGCCCCGGGCUCAACCUGGGAACGGCAUCCGGAACUGUCAGGCUAGAGUGCAGGAGAGGAAGGUAGAAUUCCCGGUGUAGCGGUGAAAUGCGUAGAGAUCGGGAGGAAUACCAGUGGCGAAGGCGGCCUUCUGGACUGACACUGACACUGAGGUGCGAAAGCGUGGGUAGCAAACAGGAUUAGAUACCCCAGUAGUC